AUUGAACGCUGGCGGCAUGCCUUACACAUGCAAGUCGAACGGCAGCACGGGUGCUUGCACCUGGUGGCGAGUGGCGAACGGGUGAGUAAUACAUCGGAACAUGUCCUGUAGUGGGGGAUAGCCCGGCGAAAGCCGGAUUAAUACCGCAUACGAUCCACGGAUGAAAGUGGGGGACCUUCGGGCCUCGCGCUAUAGGGUUGGCCGAUGGCUGAUUAGCUAGUUGGUGGGGUAAAGGCCUACCAAGGCGACGAUCAGUAGCUGGUCUGAGAGGACGACCAGCCACACUGGGACUGAGACACGGCCCAGACUCCUACGGGAGGCAGCAGUGGGGAAUUUUGGACAAUGGGCGAAAGCCUGAUCCAGCAAUGCCGCGUGUGUGAAGAAGGCCUUCGGGUUGUAAAGCACUUUUGUCCGGAAAGAAAUCCUUGACUCUAAUACAGUCGGGGGAUGACGGUACCGGAAGAAUAAGCACCGGCUAACUACGUG
Molecule: ribosomal RNA, 486 nt
Filed under: uncultured bacterium
Lineage: Bacteria
Description: partial 16S ribosomal RNA
Rfam family: Bacterial small subunit ribosomal RNA
Source: RNAcentral